RNAcentral lists this ribosomal RNA (402 nucleotides) under uncultured bacterium. RNAcentral describes it as "bacterial SSU rRNA". It matches the Rfam family "Bacterial small subunit ribosomal RNA", at positions 355 to 774 of the family's 1533-position model. The record is from RNAcentral.
UGGGGAAUAUUGGACAAUGGGCGCAAGCCUGAUCCAGCCAUGCCGCGUGAGUGAUGAAGGCCUUAGGGUUGUAAAGCUCUUUUAGCAGGGAAGAUAAUGACGGUACCUGCAGAAAAAGCCCCGGCCAACUUCGUGCCAGCAGCCGCGGUAAUACGAAGGGGGCUAGCGUUGCUCGGAAUUACUGGGCGUAAAGCGCACGUAGGCGGACUCUUAAGUCGGUGGUGAAAUCCUGGAGCUCAACUCCAGAACUGCCUUCGAUACUGGGAGUCUUGAGUUCGGGAGAGGUGAGUGGAACUGCGAGUGUAGAGGUGAAAUUCGCAGAUAUUCGCAAGAACACCAGUGGCGAAGGCGGCUCACUGGCCCGAUACUGACGCUGAGGUGCGAAAGCGUGGGGAGCAAACA